AUCCUUUGACCACUCUAGAGAUAGAGCUUCCCCUUCGGGGGCAAAGUGACAGGUGGUGCAUGGUUGUCGUCAGCUCGUGUCGUGAGAUGUUGGGUUAAGUCCCGCAACGAGCGCAACCCUUAUUGUUAGUUGCCAUCAUUUAGUUGGGCACUCUAGCGAGACUGCCGGUGACAAACCGGAGGAAGGUGGGGAUGACGUCAAAUCAUCAUGCCCCUUAUGACCUGGGCUACACACGUGCUACAAUGGGAAGUACAACGAGUCGCGAAGUCGCGAGGCUAAGCUAAUCUCUUAAAGCUUCUCUCAGUUCGGAUUGUAGGCUGCAACUCGCCUACAUGAAGCCGGAAUCGCUAGUAAUCGCGGAUCAGC
This 366-nucleotide ribosomal RNA is filed under the name Enterococcus avium. RNAcentral describes it as "bacterial SSU rRNA". It matches the Rfam family "Bacterial small subunit ribosomal RNA", at positions 986 to 1353 of the family's 1533-position model. Lineage: Bacteria; Bacillati; Bacillota; Bacilli; Lactobacillales; Enterococcaceae. The record is from RNAcentral. RNAcentral also lists the same sequence under 2 other names.